AUUGAACGCUGGCGGCAGGCCUAACACAUGCAAGUCGAGCGCGAAAGGCCUUCGGGCUGAGUAGAGCGGCGGACGGGUGAGUAACGCGUAGGAAUCUACCUGGUAGUGGGGGACAACUUGGGGAAACUCAAGCUAAUACCGCAUACGCCCUAUGGGGGAAAGUGGGGGACCUUCGGGCCUCACGCUAUCAGAUGAGCCUGCGUAGGAUUAGCUAGUUGGUGAGGUAAAGGCUCACCAAGGCGACGAUCCUUAGCUGGUCUGAGAGGAUGAUCAGCCACACUGGGACUGAGACACGGCCCAGACUCCUACGGGAGGCAGCAGUGGGGAAUAUUGCGCAAUGGGGGGCAACCCUGACGCAGCCAUGCCGCGUGUGUGAAGAAGGCCUCGGUUG
RNAcentral lists this ribosomal RNA (391 nucleotides) under uncultured bacterium. RNAcentral describes it as "bacterial SSU rRNA". It matches the Rfam family "Bacterial small subunit ribosomal RNA", at positions 29 to 425 of the family's 1533-position model. The record is from RNAcentral.